CCACACAUUCGGUAGCUGUGUGGGCACAGCACAGCGGUGGCGUCGUCGUAUUGGUCUUUAGUGACGGGGAGUGGUUGUGACCUUGAGAGCGUGCCCACUCCUCCCCACCUGCGCACUCUAGCAUUCCCCACCUUCUCUCUCUCUCUCUCUUCCCUUAACCAAUGUCAACGACCACCCACCACCACCACCAUCACAACCCUCAUUCUUCUCCUAACCUACGCUUCCCUUCCCUUCCCUUCUUUUUCUUCUCCUAACCUACACCCCCAAUGUCCUCACCCACUCCCCGCCGCCGCUUCCCGCCGCUGUGCUGGACCGACGACGAGGCCCAAGCCCUCAUCUCCGUCUUCAAGGACAAGUGGUCCUCCCUCGGCCGCACCAAUCUCAAAGCCAACGACUGGGAUGACGUCGCCGCCACCCUCGCCGCCCAAUUCCCCCUCGUCUCCCCCUCCAAGACCGCCGCGCAGUGCCACAACAAGAUCGAGAAGCUCCGCAAACGGUACCGCUCCGAGAAGCAGCGGGCCUCGACCCGACCCGGUCGGUUCUCGCCUUGGGCUUUGUAUCGGUUUAUGGAGGAAUUGGAGGGCGAGUCUGGUAAGUCGGGUUUCGGGUCGGGCCACACGGCCCGUAAAGGUGAGGGGAAUUCGAGUUCUAGGUUUUUAGCUGAUUUGGAUGAAUUUGUUGAUGUACGGAGUGGUGGUGGUGAUGCUGGUUUUCCUGUGAAAUCAUUAGGUCAUAGGAAUUUGGCGCCUUUGUUUAAUCCUAAGAUGAAGUUGAAGAAGAAUGAAAGCUCAGGGUUUCUUCGAAGAUUCGGAGGAGUGGAUUCUAGUGGUGUUGGUGUUAAAGAUUUGGGAGGGGGUUCGGGUUUGUUGAGGAGUGCUAGAGAGGUCGAUCCGGUUGAAGAGAUGGUUUCGUCGAUUCAGUUGCUUGGGGAGAAGUAUAUGAAGGUGGAGAAGAGGAAGAUGGAGAUGGCUAGGGAGAUUGUGAUGAUGCAAAUGGACAUGGAGAUGAAGCAGACUCAGGUGAUUAUGGAGUCACAGCAACAGAUAGUGAAUGCUUGUGUGAGUGCAUUGUUGGACAGCAAGAAGAAGAAGAAGAGGAAGAUCAAGGCGGUGUCGACUGAUUCCUAGAUGGAGCUGCGGUUUAGUUGUUCAUGCUGUAAGGUAAAUGACGAGAAAUGUGUACUAGGAUGAUGUGCCUCGAAGAAGAGGGUUCUCUGGUUUUAACAAGAAGGUUUAGUUCUCUGAUGGUAAGAGUUCUUUUUCUUGAGAAUGACCAAUGAUGUUGAUUUAAGAGCUUCGCUUUUGGUUGAACUUACUUUAAGAACUUGAAAGGCUCUGAUUUACAAGGAGAGACAGAAAUAGUAUAGAGCGGAUCCGGCUCCAUACCGCGUAUGGAAAGUAGUCUACUUUUGGUUUGGGAGCCGCUGAUCGAUAGACAAGUAAAGGCAUCAAGUUUGAAGGUAGGUUUUGGGUAAAGGAUGGUGUUCAUGUAAAGCUUAAGAAAAACCAAGUUCCAGCCUUUUGUAAGCGAUUCAUAGUUAAUGAAUUUCGGUGGGGAUAAUGGGUUAAAGAGGAUGGGUGUUCGUUGAGACAUUGAGUAGUGGAUUAAAAGUUUGCGAAGAUGGAAAUGGCCCAAGGGAUUGUGAAGAUGCAAAUGGAGAUGAGAUGAAGCAAAAUCUGGUCAUAAUGGAAUCACAGGAACAGAUUGUGGUAGCUUUUUGUUAAUGCAUCAUUGGAAAGCAAGAACACCUGAUUCCUUGAUGGUGGAAACAAACCACAGGUUUCUUUUUUCUAUAAGUUUUAUAUCAAUUUUGGUUGAGUAUGCUAAAUAUGCAUGGCCUUUCUCAAUUUUUUUUUUCCCUUUCAAUUACAUAAAACUGUUUAUGUUCUGUAUACUGUGCUGUAUAUUGGGAUGUACCUUGCGAACUAAAUCUUAUUGUGCUGCUGAUUCUGUUAAGUUGGUAGAUCUUGCUACUUUCUUUUUGUGUCUGUUCAAAGGUCUGAAACAUGUUAAUUGGUAUAUUAAGGAACUAUCUCACUAUUUUUUAACAAUAAAAAGCUUACCUAGUUUCAUGCAUACUGUUAGAUGCAUCACAUAUGCAUGUCCAAGAUUUAUUCCAUGACACAUAACCCUUUUGGUCUCCUUUCCAUUGUAUUUCUAAUGGAAUUAUUCUGUGAUACAUGCUUACCUCUGCAUGUUAUGUUGCCCAAUUUGGAACUACAGUAAUAUAUCAUUUGAUGAUGUUAUAAAUGAUGAUGGAUGCCCCUAACAAUAGAAUCACAAUUACUGAUUCUGCUACCUCCUCAUUCGUAGUCUGAAGUUGUCUUUAUUCCAUUAGUUGAUGUGCUAGUUUUAACAAGAUCAUGUUGCAGGGUGUUGUUAUAUGGUCCAGGUGUGGUGAGGUUAAAAGGGACCAAAAGCCUAUUGUCACUUGAAGGCUUGAAGCCUUCCAACUUUUAGUGGUUUGCAUCACGAAAUGGCUAACAUUGGUGUCAGUGUCCAAUUGGGUACUGUCAAUGUUGGUUUUUAAAAGGCUUGUUCCUUGUGAGCUUGGUUCUCCAAUGGUACAUUUUUGUUUGUUAAAGAAUGACCAGUGAUCUGAUUUGAAGAACAUGAAAGGCUAAGAUUAAUGAGGACGGAAAAAUAUAGAAACAAAAUAAAAGUGGAACCCGCUCCAUAAAGGGAAUGAAAAUUUUAGUCUACUUUGGUUUAGGCUCCAUAUCAGUAGACAGUAGAGGCACUGAACUGAAGGUAGGGUUGGAGUAUUCAUGUAAAGACAGAAAAGUUGCGGAAAAUUCAACCUUCUAGCUGUUUUUUAUUUUUUAUUAUUAUUUUUUUUUUUUUUGCAUUUUGCUGGACAAGGAAUUGCUGGUGCUAGUGGGCAGGUUUUCUGUCAAAUCUCUGGGUAUAAGAAUUUGGUUCAUUCAUCCUUUCUGCCCAACAGUUGUAAAAUAAGGGAAGAGCCUGAUCUGGAGGUCCAUUUGAGAUAGAUUGUGAGAUUGUUGUUUUCAAAAUUGGAUGGGUUAUUCACCUUCUUCGAGGAGGUAUGGAUUUGUUGGUCUGAGAAAAGGGUGUAUUCUAUUGAAGAGAGGGUUUCAUCAAUUAUGUGUUUGGAGAAGGGUUUGUGAAGAUGUAGAUGAGCUUGAGCAUGCAUAUUAUGGGAAAGCAAGCAGAAGCAUUGUCACCUGAUUUUAAGAUGGAGCUAUGACCACUCAGAUUUAAGCUUUUCUUUUUGCAACUAUUCCUUCAUUUUCUUUUCCCCUCUUUUGUUCUGAUAAAGCUCGUUUAUGCUGUGUAAUCUGUUGGUAAAUAACAGAACUGCAUGACAGGAUAACUAUGCCUUGAAGAACAA
Rosa rugosa (rugosa rose) is the source of this 3352-nucleotide RNA transcript. It is a transcript of the gene named trihelix transcription factor ENAP1-like, with no coding region annotated. The record is from RefSeq and is a predicted model, not a curated record. NCBI's taxonomy places the organism in Eukaryota, Viridiplantae, Streptophyta, Magnoliopsida, Rosales, Rosaceae. The transcript has 3 exons.